Molecule: ribosomal RNA, 253 nt
Filed under: uncultured bacterium
Lineage: Bacteria
Description: partial 16S ribosomal RNA
Rfam family: Bacterial small subunit ribosomal RNA
Source: RNAcentral
UACGUAGGUGGCAAGCGUUGUCCGGAUUUAUUGGGCUUAAAGGGUGCGUAGGCGGCCCUGUAAGUCAGUGGUGAAAUACUCUAGCUUAACUAGAGGGGUGCCAUUGAUACUGCAGGGCUUGAGUACAGACGAGGUAGGCGGAAUUGACGGUGUAGCGGUGAAAUGCAUAGAUAUCGUCAAGAACUCCGAUAGUGAAGACAGCUUGCUAGGCUGUAACUGACGCUGAGGCACGAAAGUGUGGGGAUCAAACAGG